RNAcentral lists this transfer RNA (72 nucleotides) under Philophthalmus lacrymosus. RNAcentral describes it as "tRNA-Thr". The record is from RNAcentral. Lineage: Eukaryota; Metazoa; Platyhelminthes; Trematoda; Plagiorchiida; Philophthalmidae.
UGAGGUCUUUUAGUUUAUAUAGUAGAAUGCUGUUUUUGUAAAACAGUGGUGGUUUUUGGCCAAAGUCCUUUU